Molecule: small nucleolar RNA, 80 nt
Organism: Pungitius pungitius (ninespine stickleback)
Lineage: Eukaryota; Metazoa; Chordata; Actinopteri; Perciformes; Gasterosteidae
Product: small nucleolar RNA SNORD79
Exons: 1
Source: RefSeq, a predicted model, not a curated record
AACUGUAAAUGAUGAAUUGUUUAAAAAACAUUGGGAAUCUCUCUGAAAAAAGUGAAAGACAACUUUUUACUGAUACAGAA